AGAGUUUGAUCCUGGCUCAGGAUGAACGCUAGCGGGAGGCCUAACACAUGCAAGCCGAGCGGUAUUUCUUCUUCGGAAGAGAGAGAGCGGCGUACGGGUGCGUAACACGUGUGCAACCUACCUUUAUCUGGGGGAUAGCCUUUCGAAAGGAAGAUUAAUACCCCAUAAUAUAAUGAUUGGCAUCAAUUAUUAUUGAAAACUCCGGUGGAUAGAGAUGGGCACGCGCAAGAUUAGAUAGUUGGUGAGGUAACGGCUCACCAAGUCUGUGAUCUUUAGGGGUCCUGAGAGGGAGAUCCCCCACACUGGUACUGAGACACGGACCAGACUCCUACGGGAGGCAGCAGUGAGGAAUAUUGGACAAUGGGUGAGAGCCUGAUCCAGCCAUCCCGCGUGAAGGACGACGGCCCUAUGGGUUGUAAACUUCUUUUGUACAGGGAUAAACCUACCCUCGUGAGGGUAGCUGAAGGUACUGUACGAAUAAGCACCGGCUAACUCCGUGCCAGCAGCCGCGGUAAUACGGAGGGUGCAAGCGUUAUCCGGAUUUAUUGGGUUUAAAGGGUCCGUAGGCGGGCCCGUAAGUCAGUGGUGAAAUCUCGCAGCUUAACUGUGAAACUGCCAUUGAUACUGCGGGUCUUGAGUAAAUUUGAAGUGGCUGGAAUAAGUAGUGUAGCGGUGAAAUGCAUAGAUAUUACUUAGAACACCAAUUGCGAAGGCAGGUCACUAAGAUUUAACUGACGCUGAUGGACGAAAGCGUGGGGAGCGAACAGGAUUAGAUACCCUGGUAGUCCACGCCGUAAACG
Molecule: ribosomal RNA, 800 nt
Filed under: uncultured bacterium
Lineage: Bacteria
Description: bacterial SSU rRNA
Rfam family: Bacterial small subunit ribosomal RNA
Source: RNAcentral